GAUGAACGCUAGCGGCAGGCUUAACACAUGCGAGUCGAGGGGUAUUUAUCUUCGGAUAGAGAGACCGGCGCACGGGUGCGUAACGCGUAUGCAAUCUACCUUUUACAGAGGGAUAGCCCAGAGAAAUUUGGAUUAAUACCUCAUAGUAUAUAGACUCGGCAUCGAGAUUAUAUUAAAGUCACAACGGUAAAAGAUGAGCAUGCGUCCCAUUAGCUAGUUGGUAAGGUAACGGCUUACCAAGGCUACGAUGGGUAGGGGUCCUGAGAGGGAGAUCCCCCACACUGGUACUGAGACACGGACCAGACUCCUACGGGAGGCAGCAGUGAGGAAUAUUGGACAAUGGGCGCAAGCCUGAUCCAGCCAUGCCGCGUGCAGGAUGACGGUCCUAUGGAUUGUAAACUGCUUUUAUACGAGAAGAAACACUGCUACGUGUAGCAGCUUGACGGUAUCGUAAGAAUAAGGAUCGGCUAACUCCGUG
RNAcentral lists this ribosomal RNA (478 nucleotides) under uncultured bacterium. Its description in RNAcentral is "partial 16S ribosomal RNA". It matches the Rfam family "Bacterial small subunit ribosomal RNA", at positions 28 to 507 of the family's 1533-position model. The record is from RNAcentral.